RNAcentral lists this ribosomal RNA (500 nucleotides) under uncultured bacterium. RNAcentral describes it as "partial 16S ribosomal RNA". It matches the Rfam family "Bacterial small subunit ribosomal RNA", at positions 30 to 523 of the family's 1533-position model. The record is from RNAcentral.
AUUGAACGCUGGCGGCAGGCCUAACACAUGCAAGUCGAGCGGAUGACGGGAGCUUGCUCCUUGAUUCAGCGGCGGACGGGUGAGUAAUGCCUAGGAAUCUGCCUGGUAGUGGGGGACAACGUUUCGAAAGGAACGCUAAUACCGCAUACGUCCUACGGGAGAAAGCAGGGGACCUUCGGGCCUUGCGCUAUCAGAUGAGCCUAGGUCGGAUUAGCUAGUUGGUGGGGUAAUGGCUCACCAAGGCGACGAUCCGUAACUGGUCUGAGAGGAUGGUCAGUCACACUGGAACUAAGACACGGUCCAGACUCCUACGGGAGGCAGCAGUGGGGAAUAUUGGACAAUGGGCGAAAGCCUGAUCCAGCCAUGCCGCGUGUGUGAAGAAGGUCUUCGGAUUGUAAAGCACUUUAAGUUGGGAGGAAGGGCAGUAAGCUAAUACCUUGCUGUUUUGACGUUACCGACAGAAUAAGCACCGGCUAACUCUGUGCCAGCCGCCGCCGUAA